AGAAAAAUACAAAUUUAAAAAACACAUUUUAACAACUAUGCACGUGACAUUUACAUUGUGUUGGAUAUUAUAAGUAAUCUAGAGAUGACUUAAAGUAUACAGGAAAAUGUGCAUGGGUUAUAUGCAAGUACUAUAACAUUUUAUCUAAGG
Molecule: long non-coding RNA, 150 nt
Organism: Sapajus apella (tufted capuchin)
Lineage: Eukaryota; Metazoa; Chordata; Mammalia; Primates; Cebidae
Exons: 3
Source: RefSeq, a predicted model, not a curated record